This 515-nucleotide ribosomal RNA is filed under the name uncultured bacterium. RNAcentral's name for it is "partial 16S ribosomal RNA". It matches the Rfam family "Bacterial small subunit ribosomal RNA", at positions 28 to 523 of the family's 1533-position model. The record is from RNAcentral.
GAUGAACGCUGGCGGCGUGCCUAAUACAUGCAAGUCGAGCGAAUGGAUUAAGAGCUUGCUCUUAUGAAGUUAGCGGCGGACGGGUGAGUAACACGUGGGUAACCUGCCCAUAAGACUGGGAUAACUCCGGGAAACCGGGGCUAAUACCGGAUAACAUUUUGAACCGCAUGGUUCGAAAUUGAAAGGCGGCUUCGGCUGUCACUUAUGGAUGGACCCGCGUCGCAUUAGCUAGUUGGUGAGGUAACGGCUCACCAAGGCAACGAUGCGUAGCCGACCUGAGAGGGUGAUCGGCCACACUGGGACUGAGACACGGCCCAGACUCCUACGGGAGGCAGCAGUAGGGAAUCUUCCGCAAUGGACGAAAGUCUGACGGAGCAACGCCACGUGAGUGAUGAAGGCUUUCGGGUCGUAAAACUCUGUUGUUAGGGAAGAACAAGUGCUAGUUGAAUAAGCUGGCACCUUGACGGUACCUAACCAGAAAGCCACGGCUAACUACGUGCCAGCCGCCGCUGUAA